Maylandia zebra (zebra mbuna) is the source of this 641-nucleotide non-coding RNA. The record is from RefSeq and is a predicted model, not a curated record. NCBI's taxonomy places the organism in Eukaryota, Metazoa, Chordata, Actinopteri, Cichliformes, Cichlidae.
GGUAAGAGCUGUUGGGACUAAAGAAACUGAGCAGAAAACUACAGACAUCUGGAAACUGAGUUGUUAAUUCUCAGUGGGAUCAGCAGGACUAGCAAAGCUCCACCAUGACAGUCAUCUGAUUGACUGAACCCAUCCAAACAUCACUUCAUGGACCUUUAGCUUGUGUCUGUGUGUGGACAGACAUAACAUGAGCUAAUUAUACAUUACUCCUCCACAGAGUGGACCAGCAGAGAGCAGAGGUUUCCACUGGUCAGUCUGCACAGCAACAUCAAACACACCUGGACUCUGUGGUUAUGCGGCUGGAGGACAACAUCACCAUGUUUGUGAGAACGAGCUGAAGAAGAUCCAGAAGCUUCUGAGUCCAGAUCACCCAGAAACUUUAAAGAGCCAGAUGGAGGAUGAGGAGAUGUUUGAAGGAGAGGAUGAAGAUGAAAGAAAGAGCUGCAGAGAAGCAUUUCUGAAGAUCACACUCCACUUCUUGAGGAGACUUAAGCAGCAUGAGAUGGCUGACCAUCUGCAGAGCAAAAUAUUUGCUCCACUCUGUAAACGUGAACUUAAAGCCCAACUGAAGAAGAAGUUCCAGUGUGUGUUUGAGGGCAUCGCUAAAGCAGGAAGCCCAACCCUCCUGAAUCAGAUCUACA